AGCAGCCGCGGUAAUUCCAGCUCCAAUAGCGUAUAUUAAAGUUGUUGCAGUUAAAAAAGCUCGUAGUUGAAUUUCGGGAUCAAAUUGUCGGUCGUGCCUCGGUACGCACUGGUAUUAUUGGUUCCUCCCUUCUGAAGAACCGCGAUGUCAUUAAUUUGGUGUCGUGGGAAAUCAGGACUGUUACUUUGAAAAAUUGAGUGUUUAAAGCAGGCUUACGCUUGAAUACAUUAGCAUGGAAUAAUAG
RNAcentral lists this ribosomal RNA (244 nucleotides) under uncultured Glomus. Its description in RNAcentral is "partial 18S ribosomal RNA". It matches the Rfam family "Eukaryotic small subunit ribosomal RNA", at positions 569 to 820 of the family's 1831-position model. Lineage: Eukaryota; Fungi; Glomeromycota; Glomeromycetes; Glomerales; Glomeraceae. The record is from RNAcentral.